Molecule: long non-coding RNA, 270 nt
Filed under: Lathyrus oleraceus (garden pea)
Lineage: Eukaryota; Viridiplantae; Streptophyta; Magnoliopsida; Fabales; Fabaceae
Description: Pisum sativum (pea) long non-coding RNA (PSAT_LNC008064)
Source: RNAcentral
CAUUCUCCCUUUUGGACGGAGCAUGAGGAUAAGGAAGGUUUUGGAUAGGGGUAGUGCUCACUACCUCCUUUCCCUUUGCAACUCUAGCACUCUUCCAUCUAGGCUUUUUCACUACCUCCCUUAUUACCUCAUCACUUGUAUUUUUCCCCAUCUCCACACCUUUUUCUUUUUCAACUUCACCAUUAUUUUUAUUCUUUUCAACUUCUUCACCCUCACUCCACUCUCCUACUUCACCAUCAACAUUUUCCUCCAAUAUUUCCUCCUCAAUUU